CCUACGGGUGGCAGCAGUGAGGAAUAUUGGUCAAUGGACGAGAGUCUGAACCAGCCAAGUAGCGUGAAGGAUGACUGCCCUAUGGGUUGUAAACUUCUUUUAUAUGGGAAUAAAAUGUUCCACGUGUGGGAUUUUGUAUGUACCAUAUGAAUAAGGAUCGGCUAACUCCGUGCCAGCAGCCGCGGUAAUACGGAGGAUCCGAGCGUUAUCCGGAUUUAUUGGGGUUAAAGGGAGCGUAGGUGGAUUGUUAAGUCAGUUGUGAAAGUUUGCGGCUCAACCGUAAAAUUGCAGUUGAAACUGGCAGUCUUGAGUACAGGAGAGGUGGGCGGAAUGCGUGGUGUAGCGGUGAAAUGCUUAGAUAUCACGAAGAACUCCGAUUGCGAAGGCAGUUCACUGGACUGCAACUGACACUGAGGCUCGAAAGUGUGGGUAUCAAACAGGAUUAGAUACCCUUGUAGUC
This 460-nucleotide ribosomal RNA is filed under the name uncultured bacterium. Its description in RNAcentral is "partial 16S ribosomal RNA". It matches the Rfam family "Bacterial small subunit ribosomal RNA", at positions 338 to 795 of the family's 1533-position model. The record is from RNAcentral.